RNAcentral lists this ribosomal RNA (132 nucleotides) under uncultured ectomycorrhiza (Lactarius pseudomucidus). RNAcentral's name for it is "partial 28S ribosomal RNA". It matches the Rfam family "Eukaryotic large subunit ribosomal RNA", at positions 1 to 131 of the family's 3401-position model. The record is from RNAcentral. Lineage: Eukaryota; Fungi; Basidiomycota; Agaricomycetes; Russulales; Russulaceae.
UUGACCUCAAAUCGGGUGAGACUACCCGCUGAACUUAAGCAUAUCAAUAAGCGGAGGAAAAGAAACUAACAAGGAUUCCCCUAGUAACUGCGAGUGAUGGAGAAGCGUUUAUCCGCGUCGGACCGUGUACAA